UACGGAGGGUGCGAGCGUUGUUCGGAAUCACUGGGCGUAAAGGGCGUGUAGGCGGUCCGCUAAGUCUGAUGUGAAAGCCCGGGGCUCACCCCCGGAAGGGCAUUGGAAACUGACGGACUCGAGUCCCGAAGAGGAGGGUGGAAUUCCUGGUGUAGCGGUGAAAUGCGUAGAUAUACGGAGGAACACCAGCGGCGAAGGCGGGUAGCUGGGCCAACACUGACGCUGAUGCGCGAAAGCUAGGGUAGCAAACGGG
Molecule: ribosomal RNA, 253 nt
Filed under: uncultured bacterium
Lineage: Bacteria
Description: partial 16S ribosomal RNA
Rfam family: Bacterial small subunit ribosomal RNA
Source: RNAcentral